Molecule: non-coding RNA, 2535 nt
Organism: Ictidomys tridecemlineatus (thirteen-lined ground squirrel)
Lineage: Eukaryota; Metazoa; Chordata; Mammalia; Rodentia; Sciuridae
Source: RefSeq, a predicted model, not a curated record
GUGUGUGUGUGUGUGUGUGUGGCUCAACCAGGAGACAAGGCAGACAGGGGUGGGGAAGCAAGCAGCGUGGAGGCCCGUGUAGAAGGACCCUGGUGCUAUCCUCUGGCCUGCCAUCUCCCAGCAGGUGGAACCUCCUAAUUUCCUUAGAGUACAAGUCUGCCCACCCGAACGCCAGGCCUCACUCCCUCCAUGGCUCCCCAGUGCCCUCAGGAGAAAGUUGUAUUUCCCACCAGGUCCCACGGUGCUUCUUCAUAAGGAUGCCUUGUUUCUUCCUCCCAUGCCUCUGCCUUGUAUUCCAGCCUCUUUAGGACUUCCCCCCUUCUUGCCUCUAUCCCAUCUCCUGCCGGUGUUCCCUCCUCCUGGGCCUCACUACUGUUCUCAGUUCCUGAACUUCCCCAUCAAAGCCCUGAGCACACAGCAGGCACUCAAUAAAUACUCAGCAGAAUGCUCUACACCUGUCGAGUAACUUCCUGGGUAUGGCCACGGUUCAGGCUGGGAAAUGGGGUCACCCCUGCUGAAGCAACACCCUCUGACAGCUGGCCUGUCACCCGGCUUUCUGAAGGAUCUGGAAACACAUCUUGUCUACAUGGGAAGAUGAUGGAUGAGCUGCUAUUCAUGUCUCCUAAGUAACAUGCCCCUGGAUUUUAAUGUUGGCACCCAACUCAAAAACUAGUUUUUAAAAAUAGAGUUUUGCAAAAUACCUCUGAGGACCUGUUCAGACCCCCAGUGUGCUCCCCCAGCUCCAGAACAAAGAAGCGGGACACCCAGAAUUAUUAUACAAUUCUGUAUUUAGCGACUUGUUUACAGAAUGUGUUCCUUUUUUUUAAAAUUUUAAACAAAGUUCAUCAAUCUCUCAUAGAAACAGUUUUGUGGGGUUUUGUGGGUGUUGUUUUUACCGUUGCAGGACGUGAACCAGACAGAGCUGAUCACGGGUCUGCCAGCUUUGAGUACGACAGGAUUUCUGUGUUCAGAAGACUAAGUGCUUAAUCAAAUCCCGUCACACUAAAGCCAACGUGAGUUCUCUAAGGAUCAGAAUCCUGGAUUUCAACGUUGCGUUGGUUCCGAGAGUAAAAAGUGGUGUGUUUCCCCAGUGUCUAGUGCAACAGGGCGGUGGUGGCUACGCGAUGUUUCAUUUGUCCCAGAUUGGAGUACUCUGAAAACUGGUCUCUGUUUCCUAUUGUCAAAAUAUAAAAAUACCUUCAUCUGGAUAAAAAUGUAUACAGUGGAAAACUCUUCAGUGCAUAGCCUGGGUGUGCGGAGGGCAAGGCCCUCCUCCGGGGGUGUGUCAACGUUGACUGGUGUGGGACUGCAGCCUGGGCUGGGUGCACUGGAGUUGGGAUUUCUGAGACGGUCUUCAGUUGUCCCUUUCUGGUUGCUGGGUUUUGCCUGUGGUUUCAAAAUACUCACCACAUGUGUCUGCCAUCUCUCCCCUUGGCACUGACUUGGCACCAGUUACAGUCACUUUUUUGUUACCAUUCCGGGGAGUCACCCAAUUUAGCCUUCCCACAGUUUGGAAAACGUAAAGUAAAAUGGAGAGCUUAACCACCACCUUGGAGGCUGCUCCAUUCUGAUGGGGAGCUCUCUCCCUAGACACACGAAGAAAUGUGCAGGAAAGGCUCCCCUGAGUUGGGGCUGAGUCUUGGCUCCCAGUAGUCAUGCGCUGGAAAGAAGGGUGGCCUUGGAGACUGGGGUACGUGGACAUGCUGUUCUGAACUCAGCCUUCCAGACGCAGCACCGGGGUCAGCUUGAGAAGGUGAUGACCAGGUCCGCAGGGGUCUCUAGUGGGUGAAUCUGCUUUGGCACUGGCUGCUGAGCUUUCCUGCAUGUGGGAUAACCGCACUGUCCCUCUGAGAGCACGAGGAGGGAGGAUGCAGCCAGUCUUCUCUGGAAUGCCCAGUGGGGAAACUUGCUGGGUGUGGCCAUGAUUCAGGCUGGGAAUAGGGGUCACUCUGGCUGAAGCACCAUCUCAGAGCACCUGCCCCGACACCCAGCUUUCUGAAGGAUCUGGAAACACAUCUUUUCUACAGAUGGGCAUGAUGGGUUCCUAACCAGGGAGUAUAACAGUUUGCUUUGUACCAUGCCACCUCUAGUCUAGGACGCUGGGCCACGGCCCACAUCUCUAUGACAUUUACAACAGCACGGGACACUCUGUGUUAUCAAGGUUGCAGAACAGACUACCAGAAUGGAACACAUCCUCAACGGCAUCGAGGUGUUCGUUUAGAGUCUUUUGGACUUUCUCCCUUCAGCACGGCUUCCGGACAGGCAAUGGCAACGUGCUGUGUCUCACAGACAGGCGUGGGGAAAACCGUGGUUCAAAGGUUAUUUAAAUUUGGUCAGUCUUAUAGUGUUUACUGAUGGCUUUGAACAAUUGUCUUCUUUUAAUCUCAUCUAGUGGCAAAAAAACGACACAACUUCCAUGUAUACUUCGCAACAGUUGUGACAGCAUCCUGAUUUCAUAACUCUCUGUAAUAUCAAAACAGCAUCGGCUGGGAAUAAAUUCCAAAGGAUCCUUUAUUAAAAUAUCUAAAAGAGGUC